GUGGGGAAUAUUGGACAAUGGGCGAAAGCCUGAUCCAGCCAUGCCGCGUGAGUGAUGAAGGCCUUAGGGUUGUAAAGCUCUUUCAGUAGGGAAGAUAAUGACGGUACCUACAGAAGAAGCCCCGGCUAACUUCGUGCCAGCAGCCGCGGUAAUACGAAGGGGGCUAGCGUUGUUCGGAUUUACUGGGCGUAAAGCGCACGUAGGCGGAAUGGUCAGUUAGAGGUGAAAUCCUGGAGCUCAACUCCAGAACUGCCUUUAAUACUGCCAGUCUAGAGUCCAGAAGAGGUUAGUGGAACUCCUAGUGUAGAGGUGGAAUUCGUAGAUAUUAGGAAGAACACCAGUGGCGAAGGCGGCUCACUGGUCUGGUACUGACGCUGAGGUGCGAAAGCGUGGGGAGCAAACAGGAUUAGAAACCCUGGUAGUCC
This 425-nucleotide ribosomal RNA is filed under the name uncultured bacterium. RNAcentral's name for it is "bacterial SSU rRNA". It matches the Rfam family "Bacterial small subunit ribosomal RNA", at positions 354 to 796 of the family's 1533-position model. The record is from RNAcentral.